This is a long non-coding RNA of Etheostoma cragini (Arkansas darter), 257 nucleotides long. RefSeq lists it as uncharacterized. The record is from RefSeq and is a predicted model, not a curated record. NCBI's taxonomy places the organism in Eukaryota, Metazoa, Chordata, Actinopteri, Perciformes, Percidae. The transcript has 3 exons.
AUCCACCUUCACUGGCUCCCAAUUAAGUCCCGCAUCAAAUACAAAUCCCUCCAUGCCCCGGCCCCACUCUACCUCUCUGACCAACUCCACCCAUACAUCCCACCCAGAAACCUGCGGUACUCAGAUGCUGGCCUGCUCUCCAUCCCCCACACCAGACUCUGUACCUUCGGACACAGCCCCAUCCCUCUGGAACACCCUUCCUGCAGGUAUUCGAAAUGCUACAUCCCUGGACAUGUAAAAAAAAAAAAUCCCGAAAC